Molecule: long non-coding RNA, 352 nt
Organism: Leptinotarsa decemlineata (Colorado potato beetle)
Lineage: Eukaryota; Metazoa; Arthropoda; Insecta; Coleoptera; Chrysomelidae
Source: RefSeq, a predicted model, not a curated record
UUCUUGCAUAAUAUAAACAACAAGUUGGUUAUUCAUUCGAGUCGAUACCAAUGAGAAAGCCAUGAAAACUUGUGCGAAGUUCAAAAUAUUGUUAAUUUUAUUGUUUGUCCUUCUAGGACCAUGUUCUUCUCCAUACGUUCCUAGACCAAGAAAUUUCACGAGAGACCACCCUAUUAUAUCUCCAUGUCCAAGUGGUGAAAUAGUAUUGAGGGGAAUGUGUAGAAAGGUAUAUAAUUUAUAUACCGAGCCAUAAAAAAGGCACACCAGCAACCUGCCAUGGAAAUUAGAAAACAGUAGUCAAUAUUGUUGAGAAUGGGCAACAUGUACAUUUUCAAUAAAAACUGAGAUUAAA